CAGUAGCAUUCCUCGCUGACGUUACCCGACGGGGCAUGCAAGUGCCACGACGAGAGUCGUUAAGUUGGGACAAAAUCGCUAGCGACGGGCAUAGACGAGACAUUGCCGUCGUACCCAAUGCAUAUUCCGCAUUCGAGAGCUCAAGCGAGCGUUCAUGGGCCAAACCAACUGCGAUUGUAAUUCGAGUUAUGUGGGACACAAACGACGCUUCAAGGUUCACUGCGGCGAAAGCCCAUGCAAAACGAGCAGACACCGAGUGAAUGAUACACGAUUGGGCAGGAUAAUUCCGUAUAGUAGGCAUGCAACACAGGAAACCAUAGAAAACGGGCAGCCAAGGCAACGUGCUCUUGUACCAUCAAAUGAAAAGGGCCGCACGACCGACCGUCACUGCCACAGCAAUGAUCCAAC
This 408-nucleotide unclassified non-coding RNA is filed under the name Lasianthus congesticymus. RNAcentral describes it as "partial external transcribed spacer". Lineage: Eukaryota; Viridiplantae; Streptophyta; Magnoliopsida; Gentianales; Rubiaceae. The record is from RNAcentral.